Molecule: ribosomal RNA, 1382 nt
Filed under: uncultured bacterium
Lineage: Bacteria
Description: partial 16S ribosomal RNA
Rfam family: Bacterial small subunit ribosomal RNA
Source: RNAcentral
GAUGAACGCUGGCGGCGUGCUUAACACAUGCAAGUCGAACGAUGAUCCCAGCUUGCUGGGGGAUUAGUGGCGAACGGGUGAGUAACACGUGAGUAACCUGCCCUUGACUCUGGGAUAAGCCUGGGAAACUGGGUCUAAUACCGGAUAUGACUCCUCAUCGCAUGGUGGGGGGUGGAAAGCUUUUGUGGUUUUGGAUGGACUCGCGGCCUAUCAGCUUGUUGGUGGGGUAAUGGCCUACCAAGGCGACGACGGGUAGCCGGCCUGAGAGGGUGACCGGCCACACUGGGACUGAGACACGGCCCAGACUCCUACGGGAGGCAGCAGUGGGGAAUAUUGCACAAUGGGCGCAAGCCUGAUGCANCGACGCCGCGUGAGGGAUGACNGGCCUUCGGGUUGUAAACCUCUUUCAGUAGGGAAGAAGCGUAAGUGACGGUNCCUGCANAAANAAGCGCCGGCUNACUACGUGCCANCANCCNNGGUAAUACNUANGGGNNCAAGCGNUNUCCNGNANUAUUNGGNCGUANANAGCUCNNANGNNGGUUNAGNNUAUNCAGGAAGGGAACCCCCNGAUGGGCGAANGGCCAGGUUUUUUGGGNNCUGUAACUUGACCCUGANGGAGCGNAAAGCAUGGGGANCGAANCAGGGAUUAAGANACCCCUGGGUAGUCCCAUGCNGUAAAACGUUGGGCCACUAGGUGUGGGGGGACAUUUCCACCGUUUUCCCGCGCCGUAGCUAACGCAUUAGGUGCCCCGCCUGGGGAGUACGGCCGCAAGGGCUAAAACUCAAAGGAAUUACGGGGGCCCGCACAAGCGGCGGAGCAUGCGGAUUAAUUCGAUGCAACGCGAAGAACCUUACCAAGGCUUGACAUGAACCGGAAAGACCUGGAAACAGGUGCCCCGCUUGCGGUCGGUUUACAGGUGGUGCAUGGUUGUCGUCAGCUCGUGUCGUGAGAUGUUGGGUUAAGUCCCGCAACGAGCGCAACCCUCGUUCUAUGUUGCCAGCGGUUCGGCCGGGGACUCAUAGGAGACUGCCGGGGUCAACUCGGAGGAAGGUGGGGACGACGUCAAAUCAUCAUGCCCCUUAUGUCUUGGGCUUCACGCAUGCUACAAUGGCCGGUACAAAGGGUUGCGAUACUGUGAGGUGGAGCUAAUCCCAAAAAGCCGGUCUCAGUUCGGAUUGGGGUCUGCAACUCGACCCCAUGAAGUCGGAGUCGCUAGUAAUCGCAGAUCAGCAACGCUGCGGUGAAUACGUUCCCGGGCCUUGUACACACCGCCCGUCAAGUCACGAAAGUUGGUAACACCCGAAGCCGGUGGCCUAACCCUUGUGGGGGGAGCCGUCGAAGGUGGGACCGGCGAUUGGGACUAAGUCGUAACAAGGUAACC